RNAcentral lists this long non-coding RNA (3486 nucleotides) under Sparus aurata (gilthead seabream). Its description in RNAcentral is "lncRNA (ENSSAUG00010014463.1)". The record is from RNAcentral. Lineage: Eukaryota; Metazoa; Chordata; Actinopteri; Spariformes; Sparidae.
AUGGGUGCCAACAACAGCCAGUGCAGCAGAGCGGGCGACACAUUCAAUCCCUUCAACAUGACAUCAGUGAGCUCCAGCUGUUCACUAGAAAACCCUCUGAGCUGUGUGAUGGGAGAGGUGUCGGCAAGGCAAGGAAAUGUGAGCUUGACUCAGGGACAGGUCUUCACAGACAGCAUCAUCCAGCUCACUGGAGACGAGACAGUGGUCGGCAGAUCCCUGGUGCUGAAGAGCGGAAACAGCAUCAUCGCAUGUGCAGAAAUCCUCCCAGAAUCCUCUUCAGCAGAGCAGACCUUUCCCAAUGUGACUAACUUCAGCAGAACGGACUUCCGUACUAGGGUCGCAAAUGUCCUGGGGACAGACAGGGCAAGAGUCACCAUCCUGCCUGGCUCUCCCCGCUCUGCAGCUGAUGGACAGUGCCAGACAGUCAGCUACAUGGUCUCUGGUAAGGCAACAACAUGAUCUUCCCCUAUCUACACAAUUUUGUGUCUAAUUUCCCCAAAAAAAGGGAAAUUGUGUUACAUUUCAACGCAACAACAGCACUUGACGAUGAUCUGAGGAAGUGAGUGAUCAUAAUUACACUACUCAUACUGGAAAUCACGUAUGGAAAGUUCAUUCGAUCAUUUCCAAUCAACCACAUGGUUGAAAUUCUUAACAGACACCAUCUGUCAGUACGAUGAGUGUUUGUGGCAGUCACAUUUGAUCUAACACGCCAGAGUUACUUUGAAAGAAUGUGUUCAGGGACACACGCCCUGCAUUUGGAGAUUAUUGUUAUGUUAAACUUCCCUGCUCGUGGUUUGUAUCUCCAGGUGUCAUCCAAGUUAAAAACCUCAGUGGUAUGUGAAGAAGGAAAUGGGAAUGGCAAAGAAAAAAAAACAAACAUCAAUCAUAGUUCAAAUCUGAUUUAGCAGAGGGAGUGCUGCGUGCCUUCACUAAGACAGGACGACAUCGGUUCCGUUUUUACAAAUACACCCAAAGGCUCUUGUUUGAUAUAACUUAUAUAAUUGGACCGAUGUACACCAUGUAAGUCCAUAAACACUUCAGCUACUACAGGUUUUCCAGAAUCUAUCUGGCGAGGCUGUGUGUGCCCGGGCUGUGUUCAUCGGGACAAUGAACAAUUACGGGCAUUGAAAAUCUUUAGAUGACCUGAAAAAAUUGCUCAGAAACCCGAUGCUGGAGUUGACUGUCUUUGUGUCUUACUUUCUGUCCCCGGGGGGAACAGAGGACUGUCUGUGCGGAGGUUUCACACAGUAUAGCACAGGACGGGCAUUUAUGCUCUCAGAAGUCUCCCACAAGGUGAGGGAGAGUUUACUUUUGCAGUGAUUCCCCAGAAGCCCUCUUUUAGCGUGAUUCCGGCGAUGGUGAUGACGUUUUCUGUGCUUGAGAGAAUUGAAAAUGAUUGUGAGUUAUUGACACUGAUCUCUGUCUGAUGCAAAAGUACCCGUUAAAGCAAUCACACCUCAGAAUCUGUGACUACACUGCAGCAGUUCUGGUAUAUCAGCAUCAGACUACCUCAUGGAGAAGUCCGUAGCUGCCUUUAGUCUAGUAAUCAUCAAGUGUAACAAAUCAGUAAUUACUGCUUAUGUGUAAUUAAGCUUUGCCUCGUUGUCUGUGCCUUACAGGGAAUGUCAGCACAGAGCUUCUGAUGUCAGUCAAAACCAGCGGGGAGAUGGGAGUGUAUAGAGAGUCUGAUACAUGUACAAGUAAGUACGCUCUGGACUGUAUGUGAGUCCUCCUCUCUUGUUCAAUAAAUAUUGAUUUUGAAGGAGAGCGAUUGUGAAAAUCUACUCAAGACUGUAGGUUUCAUAUAUACAUAUAUAUUUUUUAGAAUUUUCAUGAACGCAUGGCAGAUUUUAAAUUAUAAAUUCACCCAAAAAUGAAAAUUCAGUCAUUAUCAACUCUCCCCCGUGCCGAUGGAAAGUCGGGGCAAGUUACAUAGUCAAGUCAUUUCUGGAGCUUCACAGCAAACCAGUGUUGCAGCAUUUCCUAGUAGAGGGAAACUUGUUUUAAAAUGUAAUAAUGGCUCACAACAUCCAAGUCUCAAGAAGCCCUGAGAUUUAUUUGAAAACACAGUAUUUACACCCUUUCAAAGCCAAAUUAUUCACUAAGUAGCUGCUAAGCUAACACUGUUAACAAGCCCUGUAUAAGCCUGGCUGUGUGCCGAGGGUGUAAAUAUUUGUCUUUCCAAAUCAAUGGGGGAUGUCGGGGCUUCUGAAGACUUAAAUUAUGCCGGUUGAGCUGUAUGGAGCCAUUUUAUAUUUGACUGUUUUUUUCAGUUACUUUUUACAUUUUCAAACAAGUCCCCGGCUUCUUCACUUUAUUAGAAGAAUGCUUCAAGACAAGACGGUGACAUAAUUUGAAUGACAUUAGAGGCUGGAGGCUGUUGAAUUCAACAUCACUUGCACAAUGCAGUCUCACUUAUUACAUUGAUGCAUUACUUCCUCUUGUCAUAACCAGUUUAUGUUAUUUGAUAGGCGCUUUACAGCAACAAAGUUUUGGAAACUCGUAAUAAAUUCUAUGAAAACGAUCCCUGUGUAUGUAAAUUGAACACACUGAGUCACGCUUAACUUUCAUUGUGAUGCGAUGCCCCCAGGAGGUGAAGGAGCUGCAGGAAGUGAAGGAGGUGCAGGAGGGGCAGGAAAUGCAGGUCUGCAGCUGCUACCAGGACCUCUUCUUCUUGGCUUGAUGUUUGCUGUCGCCCGCCUGCUGCCAUCUACAGCUUAUUUAUAGCCUCCCUGUUUAUCAUGAGUGCAGACACAUUGAUCCUGUUAUUGUAAAACUGUGAAUAUGUUUAUGAAAUGUAGCCUGACAAGUGAUACAGUGGUCAUCUGAUUAAUCAUCUGGCCAAUAAUGACUUUCUUUUUCCAGCUUUUGUCAACAAAUAGUGAUCUUGCAUUUUUAAAGUUAACACUUUGGGUAAGAGGCACAAUGUGAGAAUAUCAGUUCAUUUAAAUACAGUGCAAAAUUCAUAGUUCAUACAUUCUUGUCGUAAUAAAAAGCAUAGGUAAUGUAUAAAAUGUACAAACACAGAUUUAUAUUGGAUGUUGAUCAUCGCUGCUCCCUUCAAUUUAGUCAGUGAAGUCAGGUCAUUAGAGUCGAGCAGACAGCAGAAGCACAAUGUUUUUUUCUACUUUGUGACUAAAUGUUAUUUACAGCGAACUGAAGUUGCUGUGCCCACUCACAUGUGGCUUAUUUUGAUAGUCAGAUGGAAAUCCAUCACAUUUAGCACUAAUCAUUUUAUUCAACAAGCUAUUCAUUGAUUGUUAACUUAAGCCUUUAUAGAAAUGAAAUUUUUCUGCAACAAUUAUAGCUCAUUUGUAUUCACUUGGACUGUUACUGUUAGUGGGUGGGUGAAGUUAAUGCUGUACAUUUUCCGAUAUUGAGACUUUAUUUUCUCUAUUUAUGCACUAUCCAUAUUUCCAUGUCAGAUCGUGUGUAAAUAUCUUGAAAUUUGUGAAUAAAAUACAAUAAUGUUUGUACGCCAGUAAU